Molecule: non-coding RNA, 93 nt
Organism: Mycena rebaudengoi
Lineage: Eukaryota; Fungi; Basidiomycota; Agaricomycetes; Agaricales; Mycenaceae
Source: the annotation of a GenBank genome assembly
GACCUAAUAGCGCAAUAUGGCAUCGCAUCUACUCCCAAUACAGAAGCACUGUUGACCGUGUGGAAGUCCCUCGUUCAAAUCGAGGUUAGGUCC